This is a non-coding RNA of Gossypium raimondii (Peruvian cotton), 122 nucleotides long. The record is from Rfam. Lineage: Eukaryota; Viridiplantae; Streptophyta; Magnoliopsida; Malvales; Malvaceae.
UGGUAAAAAUUUUAUCCAUUUGUAUUGUUAAAAAUCGGUAGGACAUGUGACAUGCCAUGUGUACCUUAUGCUAACAUACAAUGACCAGUUUUUAACAGUAAAAAUUGAUAGAAUUUUUAAUA